RNAcentral lists this ribosomal RNA (468 nucleotides) under uncultured bacterium. RNAcentral's name for it is "partial 16S ribosomal RNA". It matches the Rfam family "Bacterial small subunit ribosomal RNA", at positions 28 to 507 of the family's 1533-position model. The record is from RNAcentral.
GACGAACGCUGGCGGCGUGCUUAACACAUGCAAGUCGAACGGAAAGGCCCUGCUUUUGUGGGGUGCUCGAGUGGCGAACGGGUGAGUAACACGUGAGUAACCUGCCCUUGACUUUGGGAUAACUUCAGGAAACUGGGGCUAAUACCGGAUAGGAUCUCCUGCUCCAUGGUGUGGGUUGGAAAGUUUCGGCGGUUGGGGAUGGACUCGCGGCUUAUCAGCUUGUUUGUGAGGUAGUGGCUUACCAAGGCUUUGACGGGUAGCCGGCCUGAGAGGGUGACCGGCCACAUGGGGACUGAGAGACGGACCAGAAUCCUACGGGAGGCAGCAGUGGGGAAUAUUGCACAAUGGGCGGAAGCCUGAUGCAGAAACGCCGCGUGCGGGAUGACGGCCUUCGGGUUGUAAACCGCUUUCGCCUGUGACGAAGCGUGAGUGACGGUAAUGGGUAAAGAAGCACCGGCUAACUACGUG